Molecule: ribosomal RNA, 497 nt
Filed under: uncultured bacterium
Lineage: Bacteria
Description: partial 16S ribosomal RNA
Rfam family: Bacterial small subunit ribosomal RNA
Source: RNAcentral
GAUGAACGCUGGCGGCGUGCCUAAUACAUGCAAGUCGAGCGAACAGACGAGGAGCUUGCUCCUCUGACGUUAGCGGCGGACGGGUGAGUAACACGUGGAUAACCUACCUAUAAGACUGGGAUAACUUCGGGAAACCGGAGCUAAUACCGGAUAAUAUAUUGAACCGCAUGGUUCAAUAGUGAAAGGCGGUUUUGCUGUCACUUAUAGAUGGAUCCGCGCCGCAUUAGCUAGUUGGUAAGGUAACGGCUUACCAAGGCAACGAUGCGUAGCCGACCUGAGAGGGUGAUCGGCCACACUGGAACUGAGACACGGUCCAGACUCCUACGGGAGGCAGCAGUAGGGAAUCUUCCGCAAUGGGCGAAAGCUUGACGGAGCAACGCCGCGUGAGGGAUGAAGGUCUUCGGAUCGUAAAACUCUGUUAUUAGGGAAGAACAAAUGUGUAAGUAACUAUGCACGUCUUGACGGUACCUAAUCAGAAAGCCACGGCUAACUACGUG